AACGCACCUUGCGCCUCUUGGUAUUCUGAGAGGCAUGCCUGUUUGAGUGUCAUUAAAUUCUCAACUUCAAAAGCUUUGUCUUUUUGAAGCUUGGAUGUGAAGGCUUGCUGGCGUUUUAAAUGUUCAGCUCCUUUGAAAAGUAUUAGUGGACCCGUUUGUGUUCAUCCUUAGUGUGAUAAUUAUCUACGCUAUGGCUUUGAAUGCAUGCUCAUUAGAAUCUUCGAGCUGUUUUACUGCAGUCUUGGUGUGGAGAGUUGCAUGAAUUUGCUCUUUCUGUCUCUUGAGUCAGGAUUGUCUGCUUCAAACCGUCUACAUUGUAGACAAUUUUGAACCAUUUGACCUCAAAUCAGGUAGGAUUACCCGCUGAACUUAA
Molecule: unclassified non-coding RNA, 373 nt
Filed under: uncultured fungus
Lineage: Eukaryota; Fungi
Description: sequence contains ITS2
Source: RNAcentral